Molecule: ribosomal RNA, 87 nt
Filed under: Cronobacter sakazakii
Lineage: Bacteria; Pseudomonadati; Pseudomonadota; Gammaproteobacteria; Enterobacterales; Enterobacteriaceae
Description: partial 23S ribosomal RNA
Source: RNAcentral
CGUUGAUUAGACGGGUGUGUAAGCGCAGCGAUGCGUUGAGCUAACCGGUACUAAUGAACCGUGAGGCUUAACCUUACAACGCCAAAG